This 490-nucleotide ribosomal RNA is filed under the name uncultured bacterium. Its description in RNAcentral is "partial 16S ribosomal RNA". It matches the Rfam family "Bacterial small subunit ribosomal RNA", at positions 30 to 507 of the family's 1533-position model. The record is from RNAcentral.
AUUGAACGCUGGCGGCAGGCCUAACACAUGCAAGUCGAACGGUAACAGGAAGCAGCUUGCUGCUUUGCUGACGAGUGGCGGACGGGUGAGUAAUGUCUGGGAAACUGCCCGAUGGAGGGGGAUAACUACUGGAAACGGUAGCUAAUACCGCAUAACGUCGCAAGACCAAAGAGGGGGACCUUAGGGCCUCUUGCCAUCGGAUGUGCCCAGAUGGGAUUAGCUAGUAGGUGGGGUAACGGCUCACCUAGGCUACGAUCCCUAGCUGGUCUGAGAGGAUGAUCAGCCACACUGGAACUGAGACACGGUCCAGACUCCUACGGGAGGCAGCAGUGGGGAAUAUUGCACAAUGGGGGCAAGCCUGAUGCAGCCAUGCCGCGUGUAUGAAGAAGGCCUUCGGGUUGUAAAGUACUUUCAGCGGGGAGGAAGGGAGUAAAGUUAAUACCUUUGCUCAUUGACGUUACCCGCAGAAGAAGCACCGGCUAACUCCGUG